CCCAGCUUAUCCGAUGGCCUUCCCAAUAUGUGCCGCCGCCGGCCAGCCUCCAUCCCGCGCGCCCGCCGGCGACCCUCCAGUCCUCCACCUCGCGCGCCAGCCGGACACCCUCUACCUCACGCGCCUGCCGGCCACCCUCCAUCCUGCGCGCUCGCCGGCCGACUCCCUCCAAGCCGCACCGACGGCCUCACUUCCCGACGUGCCAGCAGUGUCCCUGCGCCUGCUCCGGCCGCCUCCCUCUACCAGCGCCGCCGUCUUCCCUCCACCCCAGCACUCGUCCUUCCUCCACCCCAGCGCCGCCGGCCUCCCUCUCACCCCCUCCGGUUCCCUCGCCCACCGCCACCACCUUCUCCCGCCCCCGCGGCCUCACCAAGAUCCACCGGGGCCUCUGUUCCCACUGCUGGUGUGACCGUCGCCCCCACUAACACCUCCAUUCGCCGCCACGGACGCAGUGGCCCCGCGUGCCACCGCCUCCUCCUUCAGGCCAGUUGGUUCCGUCGGCCUCCUCGCCGCAUCCGUCCAAUUUCGGCGGGACCUCGGCCGGCCAGACACGCUCCCUCGUACUGUCGUGCGUCCUUCAUCAAAUGGCCGGACCCGGUGUCCUCCUCCAAUAUGUGCAGAGAAGCUGCAGAACAAAAAGGAAAGAAAAACCAUGUUUUAUAUUGUUGUUAUUUUGUUGCCCUCAACGGUAGUCUGUGGCACUUGGCAAUUUUUCAACGAGACGACAAUGCGGUUAAAUAGCAGCAGAGAAUUGUCUCGCUCUCUGCGCCUCGUUGAAAAAAUCGAGCAUCGGCAUCCUUCAGCAGUGAGAAGCCGUGGGGGUCAAGUACGUCCAACUCGGCAGUCCAACUCGAUAGUCCAACUCGGCGAGAUUCACUUUAUCGUCGCCCCAUGUUAACUAGCAAGACCACCACGCUUCUCCGCCGGCACUAUCAGGUACUCACCCCUGGUAACGUCUCUUGCUUACUAAUUCAUUUCGCCCCUGUUUCAGUUAGAGUUAUCUUGUAAGAAGAAAAAUGAACACCGAGAAAAAUAGGUAUUAAGCCAAGUAUAUAAUACUAAUGUCCUUCAGGUGCUUGCUUUAAUGCCUAAACAAAGAUUUAUUUAGUUCACUUCUAAAUUUAAUUUUAGUUCAGUUCAUCGUCAGCAGUAGUCCAAGUCCUCAACCCCUUGAUGUCUCGUUCUCGAGCAGGAUGGCAUUGGAGACAACAACCAACGGUCCUCCUCUGCCUCUGCUCGCCCUGCCUUCAUCACUGGGGGUGCAAAAACAGGAAUUCUCAUUCCGAAAAACCUACAAGAAAACAUCAAUUUAUAUUGAUAAUUGUUCUAGUCCUUAUGUUACAACAGUACAAUGAGAAAAAACUCAUCAGUUCAAAAAGCAUGGACAUGCUAAUGUUGUAGUGAUCUCACCAUUAAUCCUCAAAAUUCAAUACCUAUUGCCAAAUCAUCCAAUGAAUAUAGGUAGUGCAGUAUCUGUUACUGAGUUAGUGUGAUGAACCGUCACCACCAAAUAAUUAGUGGACUGACCAACCUCCGUUAGGCGCCACGCCCCCGCCUCCCGCCUCCAGCGAUGCGCCACGCCCUCGCCUCCCACGUCCGGCGAUGGACCAUGGAUCUGCCUCCGCAGGGGCGACCACCGGUGGGAAAGCGGAGCAUCGGCAACAACCACCUCCGCCCUCCUGCUCCUCCAUGCAGCGCGGCGACCACCUUUGUCGUCAUGAAUUCCCAGCUGCAUGCAGUUAAUUGUCCGUCCACACUGCCUCUCCUCCCAAGUCCACACUAGUUUUAUCACAAAAAGCAAAGGAUGUCUAUUUUAUUUCCUAACACAAAGUAGGUGUUCUCAGUUCAGUACGUGAGCUAUCUCAAGUUCUUGGUAAACAUAUAAAACAGUACGGUGUUUGUGCAAAAAAAUUAGACUGUUUUCUAAUUAUACAACAGUUUACUAUAUGGUAGAAUUGUAGUUGUUCAGUAAAAAGGUUCACUACCCCAACUAGGGGAUUUUCAAUCCGUUUUUUCUUUCUUUUCCAACUGAAAGUUGUAGCAAAUGUGAACUGAAGCUGUUGUGGAGCAAAUUUGGAAUUGUUUCCUACUUUUUCCACUGCUAUCUUGCCACCUAGAUUAAUGCUACUACUACUCCUACUUAUCGUGUUGCUAAACCUCGUGUUCUGGACAAUUUGUGGGAAAGUGUGGAGGCGCAAGUUGCUCCGCGACUGAGGAAGGCGCACCCCGGUGCUUGCCAUGGCUGAAGACGGCCUCCAACCGCCGGGCCCAAAGUAGCCAGCCUUUGUUCGCAUGCGUGUCUCAUUCCUGCUUCACCUAGGUAUGCGCCACCACCCGCCGUGCUCGAUGCUCCCUACUCCCAUAGCCAUCCUCAGUUCAACCCCAUGGCAUUGAGAUGGUCGAGUUAGUCGCGAGCAGCAGUCCACCGUACCUAGAAACUAGAUUUUUAUCUGCAACAUCAGUUCACCGUACCUAGAACAAUCAGUUCGAUCCAUCUCCUGAUUCUGAAAAUAUGAAUUGUGUUUACUGCCAAAUUGAUGCUCUAUAGUUCACUAUGUAUAUAUGUCACCAAUUCAAAAAAGACGUACAGAAAAAGUUCAAUUGUAUGUGUUAAAACCCAAUUUGGUUUUAUACUAUAUGUCAGAUUAUUACAAAAUACAAUAAAAGAUUUUUCUCAUGUGGGUGUAAGCUCUAACCAUAUGGCAACAAAGAUAGAAUGAGUAUGAAGUAUUGUUGUUUCCGUAUUGUUAAGUUCAGUAUGUAUUCCGUUUUCAGUACGUAAACAAACACACAUGAUCUUUAUAAGAGCAAAACUUACAAAAUGGAAAUCUAUAAGUUCAACUACAUAUUUUACAACAAUUGAAAAUACAAACAAUUACAUCAGUUCAGUGACAGAAAAACAUCAGUUCGAAAAGUUUUCGACUCUUGAACUGCUAGCUGAAAGAUACGAUAUGUGUACUGUUGAUAAUCUCAAACAUGUUUUACUCAACUUUAGAAAACAUGUAAUAUUGUUGUGCUGCUUUGCAAUGUCUCCAGUAGUCUUACUUCUCCAUGACGACAAGAACAACAGCGCCUGAUGGAUAAUUUGACAAAGAAUUUUGAGUCGAACAAUGGCAAAAAUUCAGAGGAGACAAUGGGAGAAGUUCAAAGAAAAUUCGGACUUGUAUAGUAACUAAGGAGGAAGCAGCAGCGCCGCUCGGUCUAGGAAUCCAGGUAGCUGUCUCCCCCUGCACCCUUCCCAUGGAUCCCUAGAUAAGUUCAAAUAUCUUAGAACAGAUAAUUCAACUUGUUUCAACGGCAUCUAAUGCAGAUGGCUUGCAUUUUGUGCUCCAUGUGUGUUUGUUCUUAUUCCUAAAAGAAAGAAAAAAAUGUAUUGCAUUUGAUAGUUCAUCCGAAUAUAUAUCAACAACAGUGCAAUGGCAGAAAAAACAUCAGUUCAAAAUGUAUGUGCAGGAGGUUUGGGAGCCAAAAGGCUGAUAUUUUGUUGUGUUUAAAUUUUUCGGGUGCAUGAUUGAGCAAGAUAUAAAUAAAAAAUGAUGUAUGAUAUAUAUUCUUUUCUUGUAUGAGGUUCAAAUAUUGUCGUGGAGCAUGUUCAAGAGUUUAGCUUGUGUGAGUCGUCCAUCGUCUUCCCACAUCUAGCAUCAGAGUCUCUCCCCCCCUUGUCGCGCACACAGUCCAGGCUGCCGAGCACCUCCUCAGGUGAGAGGGCGGUGAGGCCCUACCAUCUCCCGGUGAUGGCUUGUCGGCACCCCCUGCAGAUUCACCUCUCACCAUGGGACAGAGUCUUCAUGUAUGAACUAGAUCGUCGCCUACAAGCUCUGCUCCAGUUCAUAGCACUGGCUCUGGCAGCCACAACGCCCCAUCUUCCCUGGCUCCCACACCACCGCGCCAUCUCCUCCCGGUGGGGCUCCGCCACUGGAGCGACCUGGCCGUUCACAGCCACCACGUCUGUCUAUUCACCUGUACAAAGAUGUCCAUGCCGAGAUCAUCUUACAUGUCAAGCACCAAACCGACACCCCUGGUACCCACCGCGACUUGUGCUGCUGUUGCUAGUGUGGAUGUGUACCAAGUUCAACUACCAGUCUACUCCGAGUUCAGGUAUAUUGUCGUGGACGACCAAGUUCAGGGAUGCCUCUGUCCCUAAGGCAAGUUGUAAUAGUCCUAUUUAGUACUACUUGUUAGCGUUUUUUAACUCUCUUCAUUUCUUUAUAAUAUGUUAGUUCAGUUUUGCUAAUUCCUACAAUUCUCUAGUUAGAAAACCAGUGGAUCAUUUUUUAGUUCCUGUGGUCUACAAAAUUAUUUGACCACCGUCAUUGGCUGUUCUUCUUCGACAUUCCUAAAGUUCAGGUUUUGUCGUCUCAUCCUUGUAUCUCUAUGUAUGUUCAAUCGUUGCUCGCUUAAGAGUUCAAAAACGAAGAUUUCGAGAAGUGAUCUCUAAAUAUUUUCUUGAUCACUAAACAUGACCAAUUGUAGCAUGUUUCCUGAAAUAUUUUAGCAUGUUUUAUGUUUUCAUCGACAAAGUUCACACACUACUGUCUCGGACGUUCAAACAUUUGUUUCCCUGAUGUUCAAAUAUUAUCGUCUAGGAAUACAUGCUGUAACUUCGAGAGAAAAGUUCAUGUUGAUUACUGCCGUCAAGUGUAAAAGUUCGCCAAUAUACAAUCUAUAAUUUCAAUAUCCAGUACAUUAGUUUAGUAGUUGGUACUAACUACUCCAGUGUUUUAUUUGAUGUACCUGUGGUGUCUAGUUUCUUCUGUCAGGUCAAUUUCUAAAUUUCAUCCAGUUCAAUUCAUAUUGUAGCUCCAAUUUAGUCCACGUGGUUAAUUGUUGGAGGGUGUGUGUGUGUGCAGGGUACUAUGAUAUUGAGUAGGCGUGGAGUGUAUCACUCCAGCACGCUAAGCUCCAGUGCAUGUCAACAUCUUCUCCACUGUAAUGGAAGCUCCUCCGUUCGAGUUGAGCACUAGUCAUCAUCCAAGUUGAGCACUAGGUGCCGUCCAAGUUCAAAGAGGGUUGUAUGCAAGUACAUAAGUUUGUUUUAGUGAGAAAAAUGCGGGGUUUUGACAAUAUUCUGUAUAAUUCAUUUAUUCAACCUUAGAACUUGGCGAUAUUCGGCCUAUUUUCUAUGAUGAAGGCACACAUGAAGUCCUGUGCAAUGGCUAUCCCCCUAG
Long non-coding RNA from Triticum aestivum (bread wheat), 5168 nucleotides. RefSeq lists it as uncharacterized. The record is from RefSeq and is a predicted model, not a curated record. The transcript is spliced from 5 exons. NCBI's taxonomy places the organism in Eukaryota, Viridiplantae, Streptophyta, Magnoliopsida, Poales, Poaceae.